UGAAUUAAAAUAAAACAACAUAAAAAUAUCGAAUAUCAAAAUACGGGAAUCAUAUUGCCCAUCCCUAUUCCUAUCCCGCAAAACACCCGUAACGUACCGUUGACAUCUGCGCUGUCAAGCGCCAGUUCACCACCACUAUCUCAAGCGUCAACCAACACGAGCCGAAGGAAACCGUUAAAAACAUCCGAGCAACGAAAAACCAGGUCUCUACCAGUGAUCCGCCAGCUCGACACCUCCGGGACGCCAUUGCUUCCGUCGAGAGUGACGCCCACGUGAAAGACGGCACCUGCUAUCAGUGACCUGUGAAAAAUCGGUCAUCAUUUUCGACCAAAGUGACGCCAAGCCGAAUUGCGUAGAGGAAACCGGAGAGAUUAGCGGAAACACGACCGUAGUGAAGUGAAGUUCCUUUUCCUGACCAUUACUGUGAAGUGCCGGAUUCCCACGGAAUUCUUAUUCGAUCCCGUAAAAAAGCAUCUUCGCCGCUGGGAAACAAGGCCCGUUCGGCCGUCGUCAAGAAGAAGACUGCCAUCUCAAGACCAACAACCCAGAGGAAGUUCGAACCGCUACUGAUCCAGGUCGAAAGGAACUCUGUCUCGCGGCUACCAACAUCACGGCCGUCGGAUUGACACGUCACACGGGCAACACCAAUUGCAUGUUUCAUCUCUGGUCACAUGAUGCCACCCCCUAUUCGGACCGAAUCGUCGCAACCGGAAUGAGGUCCGCAGAACGAAACCUCGCCGCAUGCCGAUGUCCCGGCAGCCAUCUUCGUCGUGGCCUGGCAUCCUGGAAAUUGUUAAAGGUGUGUACCUAUUCUCCUAUUAUCCACAUUCCUUAAAGGCACUCCGUUUGGAGACAAUUAUAAUUGAAAAGUAAAGAAAUGAAACUAUAAUUAAAGCGCAUUAUAAUGGUAACGUAA
This is a long non-coding RNA of Armigeres subalbatus, 916 nucleotides long. RefSeq lists it as uncharacterized. The transcript has 2 exons. The record is from RefSeq and is a predicted model, not a curated record. Lineage: Eukaryota; Metazoa; Arthropoda; Insecta; Diptera; Culicidae.